CCGACUACAUUAGAUACCCGGGUAGUCCCAGCCGUAAACGAUGCGCGUUAGGUGUAUCGGUGACCACGAGUCACCGAGGUGCCGAAGGGAAACCGUGAAACGUGCCGCCUGGGAAGUACGGUCGCAAGGCUGAAACUUAAAGGAAUUGCGGGGGGGCACCACAACGGGUGGAGCCUGCGGUUUGAUUGGACUCAACGCCGGGAAGCUCACCGGAUAAGACAGCGGAAUGAUUGCCGGGCUGAAGACUCUGCAUGACUAGCUG
RNAcentral lists this ribosomal RNA (262 nucleotides) under uncultured archaeon. RNAcentral describes it as "partial 16S ribosomal RNA". It matches the Rfam family "Archaeal small subunit ribosomal RNA", at positions 720 to 982 of the family's 1478-position model. The record is from RNAcentral.